RNAcentral lists this ribosomal RNA (605 nucleotides) under Parascedosporium putredinis. RNAcentral describes it as "eukaryotic LSU rRNA". It matches the Rfam family "Eukaryotic large subunit ribosomal RNA", at positions 1 to 625 of the family's 3401-position model. The record is from RNAcentral. Lineage: Eukaryota; Fungi; Ascomycota; Sordariomycetes; Microascales; Microascaceae.
UUGACCUCGGAUCAGGUAGGGUUACCCGCUGAACUUAAGCAUAUCAAUAAGCGGAGGAAAAGAAACCAACAGGGAUUGCCUCAGUAACGGCGAGUGAAGCGGCAACAGCUCAAAUUUGAAAUCUGGUCGCCUGUGCGGCCCGAGUUGUAAUUUGAAGAGGAUGCUUUUGACAAUGUGCCUUCCGAGUUCCCUGGAAUGGGACGCCAUAGAGGGUGAGAGCCCCGUAUGGUAGGUUACUGCGUCUCUGUAAAGCUCCUUCGACGAGUCGAGUAGUUUGGGAAUGCUGCUCAAAAUGGGAGGUAAACCCCUUCUAAAGCUAAAUAUUGGCCAGAGACCGAUAGCGCACAAGUAGAGUGAUCGAAAGAUGAAAAGCACUUUGAAAAGAGAGUUAAACAGCACGUGAAAUUGUUGAAAGGGAAGCGUUUGCGACCAGACUUGUGCUCGUCGAAUCAGCCGUCGCUCGUCGGCGGUGCAUUUCGGCGGGCUCAGGCCAGCAUCAGUUCGCUGUAGGGGGAGAAAGGCGGAAGGAAUGUGGCUCUUCGGAGUGUUAUAGCCUACCGUAUAAUACCCCUCGGUGGACUGAGGACCGCGCAUCUGCAAGGAUG